Molecule: ribosomal RNA, 422 nt
Filed under: uncultured bacterium
Lineage: Bacteria
Description: partial 16S ribosomal RNA
Rfam family: Bacterial small subunit ribosomal RNA
Source: RNAcentral
GAAUUUUGGACAAUGGGCGAAAGCCUGAUCCAGCAAUGCCGCGUGCAGGAUGAAGGCCUUCGGGUUGUAAACUGCUUUUGUACGGAACGAAAAGCUUUGGGUUAAUACCCUGGAGUCAUGACGGUACCGUAAGAAUAAGCACCGGCUAACUACGUGCCAGCAGCCGCGGUAAUACGUAGGGUGCAAGCGUUAAUCGGAAUUACUGGGGGUAAGCCGGGCGCGGGCGUUUUUGUAAGAAGAGGGUGAAACCCCGGGCCCAACCCGGGGAACGGCCUUUUGAAUGGAAGGGCAAAGGACGGCAAGGGGGGGUGGAAUUCCGCGUGUAGCAGUGAAAUGCGUAGAUAUGCGGAGGAACACCGAUGGCGAAGGCAACCCCCUGGGCCUGUACUGACGCUCAUGCACGAAAGCGUGGGGAGCAAACA